RNAcentral lists this unclassified non-coding RNA (202 nucleotides) under uncultured Sebacinales. RNAcentral describes it as "sequence contains ITS1". Lineage: Eukaryota; Fungi; Basidiomycota; Agaricomycetes; Sebacinales. The record is from RNAcentral.
GUGAAUCUUCAAAGUCGGCUCGUCGGAUUGUGCUGGUGGAGACACAUGUGCACGUCUUGUGAGUCGCAAAUCCACACACCUGUGCAUCUAUGACUCUGAGUGCCGCUUUGCAUGGCCUUUGAUUGGGCCUGGCGCUCGAGUACUUUCACACACUCUUGAAUGUAACAGAAUGUCUUGUCGUGCGUAACGCACAGAAACGAAA